UUGAAAGAAAUACGGCGGUAUAGACGGGGGGGGGGGGAAUUGUGAUGGAAUCAACAGGAGAGUGAAGGGUUUUGCAGGAAUACAAAAGUAUCGGUAGGAGAUUGGGAGGGCAAGUGUGGAGAAGAAGAGUGAGGACAAUCACCAAAGAACCUAACAAAGAUGCACUGGGUUUGCAAGUCAACGAGCAUUUACUAAGCGCCUACUGUAUGCCAAGAGACGAGAGGCCUUUGGAGGAAUAGAAUGCUGUUUGCAGGAUGCCAAUUUUUUUUUUUGCAGGAAUGUGAUGGUGUUUGCUGAAGAGUUGAUGGUGUUUGCAAGAAUCUGAUGGUGUUUGCAAAGAGAGGUGAGGUUUGCGAGAAUAAAAUUGUGUCUAUCUUAGUGAGAUGGGGGUUGUGGGAAUAAGGCUGUACUUGCAGACAUGUAAUACUGUUUGCAGGAGAUCAAUGGUGUUUGCAAGAGGGUGAUGGCGUCUGCAGGAGAAUGAUGGCGUUUGCAGAUACGGGCAGGCGUUCGCGGGAGAAUGACAGUGUUUGCCGGAGAAUGGUGGUGUUUGUAGGAAGCCAUGAUAUGUGUGGAAAUGGGACGGGACUUCAAGAAACACAGCGGGGCUGAAGCUAAGCUGGGAACAUCGAAUAUGUCUGCAAGGGAGAUGUGGUGGGUGGGUGGGUGGGGGUGAUAAUAUUUGAGGGAUGCUGUGCCUUCUAUAGGAAUCUGAUGGCAGGAGAGUGAAAGUGUUUGGAGGAGAGAGAUGCUGUUUGAAGAAAUAUGACUAAGUGUGCAGGAGGGUGAAGGUGUUUACAAGAGGGUGGAAGUGUUUGCUGGAGGGUGAAAGUGCUUGCAGGAAUGAGAGGGUAUUUAUUUGCAAGAAGGAGAGGGUACUUCUAGGAGGAUGGAAGAAGGGCAAGAUGUUUGCAGGAAGGGUGAAGGUAUUUUCAGGAAGAAGUUUUCUGGCAGAAAGAGGAAGAAGUUUGCAGGAAGGAAAAGUUACUUGCAGGAAGGAGAAGGGGUUUGCAGAAAGGGGAAGAAGUUUACAGGAAAGAAAAGUUGUUUGCAGGAAGGAGAAGUUGUUUGCAGAAAGAAACAGGUUUUUGCAAGAGGGUGAAGGUAUUUGUAGGUAGGAGAGAGUAUUUACAGAAGAGUGAAGAGGUUUGCAGAAGGAUGAAUGUGUUUGCAAGAAAGUGAAAAGGUUUGCAGGAGGAUGAAAGUGUUUGCAGGAGGGAGGUGUUUGCAGGAAGGUGAAGGUGUUUGUAGGAAGAAACAGGUGUUUAUGGGAGGGUGAAGGUGUUUGUAGAGCAGGAAGAAGAAGGUGUUUGCAGGAAGGAGAAGGUAUUUGUGGGAGGGUGAAAAUGUUUGUAGGUAGGAGAAAGUAUUUACAGAAGAGUGAAGGUGUUUGCAGAAGGAUGAAUGUGUUUGCAAGAAGGUGAAGAGGUUUGCAGAAGGAUGAAAGUGUUUGCAGGAAAAGGAAAGAGAAGGUGUUUGCAGGAAAGAGAAGGUGUUUGCAGGAAAGAGAAGGUCUCUGCAGGAAAGUGACGGUGUUUGCAGGAAGAAACAGCUAUUUGCAAGAGGAUGAAGGUGUUUGUAAGGUGAAGAGGUUUGCAGGGGGAUGAAAGUGUUUGUAGGAAGGAGAAGGUGUCUGCAGAAAGGAAAAGUCUCUGCAGGAAGGUGAAGGUGUCUGCAGGUGUUGGGGGGAGGGUGAAGGUGUUUGCAGGAAGGUGAAGGUGUUUGUAGUGCAGGAAGAUGGAGGUGUCUGCAGGAAGGUGAAGGUGUCUGCAGGAAGGUGAAGGUGUCUGCAGGAAGGUGAAGGUGUCUGCAGGAAGGUGAAAGUGUCUGCAGGAAGAAACAGGUGUUUAUGGGAGGGUGAAGGUGUUUAUAGAUAGGAGAAAGUAUUUACAGAAGAGUGAAGGUGUUUGCAGAAGGAUGAAUGUAUUUGCAAGAAGGUGAAGAGGUCUGCAGGAGGAUGAAAGUGUUUGUAGGAGGGAGGUGUUUGCAGGAAGGUGAAGGUGUUUUCAGGAAGAAACAGGUGUUUAUGGGAAGGUGAAGGUGCUUGUAGUGCAAGAAGGAGAAGGUGUUUGUAGGAAGGAGAAGGUAUUUGUGGGAGGGUGAAGGUGUUUGUAGAUAGGAGAAAGUAUUUACAGAAGAGUGAAGGUGUUUGCAGAAGGAUGAAUGUGUUUGCAAGAAGGUGAAGAAGUUUGCAGGAUGAAAGUGUUUGCAGGAAGAAGCUGUUUGCAGGAAGAAGGUACUUGCAGGAAGGAAAAGUCUCUGCAGGAAGGUGAAGGUGUUUGUGGUGCAGGAAGAUGGAGGUGUCUGCAGGAAGGUGAAGGUGUCUGCAGGAAGGUGGAGGUGUUUGCAGGAAGAAACAGGUGUUGGUGGGAGGGUGAAGGUGUUUGUAGGUAGGAGAAAGGAUUUACAGAAGAAUGAAGCUGUUUGCAGAAGGAUGAAUGUGUUUGCAGGAAGGUGGAGGUGUCUGCAGGAAGGUGGAGGUGUCUGCAGGAAGGUGGAGGUGUUUGUAGGAAGAAACAGGUGUUGGUGGGAGGGUGAAGGAAGGUGAAGGUGUCUGCAGGAAGGUGGAGGUGUUUGUAGUGCAGGAAGGUGACGGUGUCUGCAGGAAGGUGAAGGUGUUUGUAGGAAGAAACAGGUGUUGGUGGGAGGGUGAAGGAAGGUGACGGUGUCUGCGGGAAGGUGAAGGUGUUUGUAGUGCAGGAAGGUGACGGUGUCUGCAGGAAGGUGACAGUGUCUGCAGGAAGGUGGUAUCUGCAGAAGACUGAAGGGGUCCCCAGGUUUUGCAAGGCUGGAUUUGGGGGAUUAUAUUUGCACGUAUUUUGGAAAUAAAAAGCUGUUAUUAAAAAAGCGCGAGGAUGUUUGCAAGCACAGCCCGGGGUUCUCCAGAAUGCAAUGGCGUUCUCAGAAAUCCGCUCUUGUUUGCAGGAGCCACUUGAAAGAAUUGCAGCGAGCCUUGUUCUUUGCAGGAGAGCAAAGAUGUUUGCAGGUUUCCAGAAGGCCGCCCUCAUCACACCCCUCAGGAAGAGGCAGGGAAAAUGAGCUCUUCCCCAUUUUACAGAUAAAGAAACUGAGGCUCAAAACUGGAGGCUUGAACUCAGCUCCCCAGUGGAGAUGAGUGGGGGGUAUUUAAUUCCCUGCUCCCCCGGGGCUCCCCAAGCCCAACGCCCACGCUCUGGAACAAGCCCCCGACUCUCUGUGGCCCCCGGGCCUCCAUCCCCGCUCUGCCCAGCUCCGUGAAACCCGAGCGCUUCCCACUGCCGGGGGCGCAGGGGGUGGGGGGCCCGUGGGGGGCCGCAGCCUUGGCUGCUGUUUUACUGAAACAGCAACACGUGAUUCUCCGGGGAUUCGGGAAAAGCCACACGGGGACAGCCGGGCGUGUCCCAGUCAGAGCCCCGGACGGCGAUUGCUUCCCACUGGUCAGCGGGCGGGGGAGGGGCUCUCCUGCCCGGGCAAAGGGACGGACGCCCCGAGGCUGAAAAGUGUUCCAAGAGAAACUCCCAAGGGAGCCCUCGCGGUCAGGCGGGCCGGAGGCGGGAAAGCCCCCGCUGAGGACUUAGCAUGUGCCGGGCACGCGCCACAAUCCCGGGGCCCAGGAAGGAAGUCCCUGCGUGGAAAAUGCGUCCGCGUCCAGAGUGGACCGUGGAGACCGAACGUAGGUCGAGGAAGACACUUUUCGGCCUUUGUUUGCUUUCUCUUUCUUGUGAUUUUCCCUUUGAUUCCGAUUUUUCUCGAACAACGUGAAUAAUAAGGAAAUGUCUAUAAAAUGA
Long non-coding RNA from Antechinus flavipes (yellow-footed antechinus), 3767 nucleotides. RefSeq lists it as uncharacterized. Lineage: Eukaryota; Metazoa; Chordata; Mammalia; Dasyuromorphia; Dasyuridae. The transcript has 2 exons. The record is from RefSeq and is a predicted model, not a curated record.